This 1676-nucleotide long non-coding RNA is filed under the name Equus caballus (horse). RNAcentral describes it as "lncRNA (ENSECAG00000056369.1)". The record is from RNAcentral. Lineage: Eukaryota; Metazoa; Chordata; Mammalia; Perissodactyla; Equidae.
CUAAUUAAAGCAAUCAGCCUUAUAACAGACAGAACAUAACUGACCAAUGUGGACCCCAGAUCCCUGCAACGCUAUCGCUUAGAGUCCUGUUUGCAUUUCUAUUGGAGUCUCUCUGUGCAAUGCCUGUCAGUGAACUUGAUAGACACUUUCAAAUUUUAUACAUUCUACUUUUAAAGUUAGGAAGAGAGUAAUAUUUCACAUAUUAACACUUAAAGCCAAAGCCAUGGUGUUUUAUUUAAAUUUACACAUUAUGAUCCUUCACAGAGCUAUAAACAGAACUCUGGUUCAUUACAUUGGUAAUGAGUCUUCCCUGCUGAGAACAUUUAUUUCUAUUUAGUUGUAAGCCACAGUUCAUUCCUACUCAUAAGCAAAGGGACCUCGCAUGAGUUGUUCUCUGAGGUUUGCCAAAAGGUUUGUCCCCAAAUUACUGUCCCCUUUAGCCUGUUGAGCUCUAUGAAGUAAACAACAUUGCAGCCAGUGUGUUUUCAAGAGCCAGUGAUUCUGAAAUCACCUAACACACGUCUAGCACAUAAAUGUUUAUAAAAUCUAAAUGCGGAAAAGAAGAUCCUUUAAUAUUGCAAAUUUAUUAGCCAGAAGAUCAAUAUAUUAAGCUCCUAUCAAUCUAAGUGAGGUUGUAUUAUCAUUUUAGCUGUCCAGUUGCCUAAUAAGGACUCAAGAGAAGGGGAGAGAAUAGCUCUUAUCCUAAAACCUCUCUUCCUUAAUGCCACAACACUGAUUAGAAAGUUUAUGAGGAAACCGGGACUGUUCAGGGGCAUUGAAAAAAAAAAUCACUGAUUAUAAAUGUUCCAUAGACCCAGAGCUACACGUUGAACUCCCUUCCUCUAGCCCUUCAAGUGCUAGAGGACUAAAGAAAGAUUUGCUCUCGCUAGAAGUUCUACGCCAGUCCUUCGGUAAUGGCUGCCUGUUGAUUCUGCUGAAAUGGAUUUCUGACCACAUCCGGGCUACGUGGGUGCUGCGAUCUAUUGGUACUGUCUGCCACAGGCAUAGCCUGAAGAACAGGCUCGUUGAUCACUGUCCACAUUUACAAUGUGGGAGGACGCUCCUGGGAGAAGCAUACAAAUAUUAAUGUCUGAUCAUACCUGCCUUGUAUAAAAUAGGUGUACCUGAAUUACAAAUACUGCGACUUUUACAGAGCAAAAGUUUCUAUUCAUCUUGUGGCAUAAUUUUAAUGUUAGUUUUGUUCUUGUGUGUGUGUGUGUUUCUUAAUCAGAAAAGGCUUUAAUUUGCCUAUUCAGAACUCUAACUUGUUUGAUUUUUCAACUGUAAGCUCCUUCCUUCAUCAUUUCACUAAGUAACUUAAAAUUAGUUCCCACAUCAUUUCACUAAGUAACUUAAAAUUAGUUCCCUCUCGUUUAGAAAUAAAAUCUGGUUACACUAAUCUUGAUAGUAUCUUGACCUGUGUUGCAAGUUCAGUUUUCCAGAAUCAAAUGCUGAGACGGAGUUUGGGUGCAAAAUUUUUGUUAGGAAUCCAUCCCUUUGAAAGGGAGGAAGUGGAAGUAGAUUUGGGCAGAGAAAGAAGUAGAAUGGCAAUGCAGGCCCAUCGAAGCCUCGGCCACUCUGGGGGAAAGUCUGAAAUGAGGGCUGGCAGUCAGAGGUCCCACAUGAGGCCAAAAGGGCCAGGUUUUCAUCCCUUGUCGCGCUUAGUCACCAGUUCG